GAAAUGUUGACCUCGGAUCAGGUAGGAAUACCCGCUGAACUUAAGCAUAUCAAAGCCCCGGAAGGAA
Molecule: ribosomal RNA, 67 nt
Filed under: Trichoderma aureoviride
Lineage: Eukaryota; Fungi; Ascomycota; Sordariomycetes; Hypocreales; Hypocreaceae
Description: partial 28S ribosomal RNA
Source: RNAcentral